CAAAAUGUCUUAUUGUGCUGUAUUCACCUAUCUAGACUGUGGCUGACUGGGGAUACCAGAAAACACGGAAAGCAAAACCGCAGUAAGCAAAACCAUGGACCAAGGGGGACUACAAUACCAAAAAAGUCUUCUUCAGGACCGACUAUACAAAUUCCAGCAUUAGAAUAGAUCAAAUCCACCAAGCCCAGAGACAAUUCUCUGUUAGAAACAUCAAAGCAUGGACCAUGGGACACUGAACUAUUCUCCUGGAAGCAGCCCUUCCAAAAGAGGGCAAAGAAGGACUUCCAUUCAUUGUUUUGGUGUAUAGCAUAGCCUUUUUGAGCCUUUCUUCAGCUUCAUGAUGUGACCAGAACCACGUGAGCAUUCCAAGAGCAGACAC
This is a long non-coding RNA of Homo sapiens (human), 379 nucleotides long. RefSeq lists it as uncharacterized. The record is from RefSeq and is a predicted model, not a curated record. Lineage: Eukaryota; Metazoa; Chordata; Mammalia; Primates; Hominidae. The transcript has 3 exons.